GCGGCUUUAGUACAUCGGUUAGUAUUCGACCUUCCCAAGGUUGAGAGACGGGUUCGAUUCCCGUAAGCCGCA
This 72-nucleotide transfer RNA is filed under the name Nanobdellota archaeon. Its description in RNAcentral is "tRNA-Gly". It matches the Rfam family "tRNA". Rfam says of the family: Transfer RNA (tRNA) molecules are approximately 80 nucleotides in length. Their secondary structure includes four short double-helical elements and three loops (D, anti-codon, and T loops). The record is from RNAcentral. Lineage: Archaea; Nanobdellati; Nanobdellota.